RNAcentral lists this ribosomal RNA (497 nucleotides) under uncultured bacterium. Its description in RNAcentral is "partial 16S ribosomal RNA". It matches the Rfam family "Bacterial small subunit ribosomal RNA", at positions 28 to 507 of the family's 1533-position model. The record is from RNAcentral.
GAUGAACGCUGGCGGCGUGCCUAAUACAUGCAAGUCGAGCGAACAGACGAGGAGCUUGCUCCUCUGACGUUAGCGGCGGACGGGUGAGUAACACGUGGAUCACCUACCUAUAAGACUGGGAUAACUUCGGGAAACCGGUGCUAAUACCGGAUAAUAUAUUGAACCGCAUGGUUCAAUAGUGUAAGACGGUUUUGCUGUCACUUAUAGAUGGAUCCGCGCCGCAUUAGCUAGUUGGUAAGGUAACGGCUUACCAAGGCAACGAUGCGUAGCCGACCUGAGAGGGUGAUCGGCCACACUGGAACUGAGACACGGUCCAGACUCCUACGGGAGGCAGCAGUAGGGAAUCUUCCGCAAUGGGCGAAAGCCUGACGGAGCAACGCCGCGUGAGUGAUGAAGGUCUUCGGAUCGUAAAACUCUGUUAUUAGGGAAGAACAAAUGUGUAAGUAACUAUGCACGUCUUGACGGUACCUAAUCAGAAAGCCACGGCUAACUACGUG